Molecule: long non-coding RNA, 289 nt
Filed under: Mytilus galloprovincialis (Mediterranean mussel)
Lineage: Eukaryota; Metazoa; Mollusca; Bivalvia; Mytilida; Mytilidae
Source: RNAcentral
GCCUCUUAAAAGCAGACUCUUUAUCUGUUUAUUUUUACCAUAAAUCUUAUGUAUACCUGUCCCAUGGCCUUUCUUUAAGUUUUGAAAUAAAGAAAAAAAAUUGUGUUAGUUGUCUGCAUGUCAUUGUGUAGCCUCAUAUAUCAUAAAUACUAGGAGCACUACCUGACACCAAGAGAUAUACGGUGUAAAGGAGGAUAUACUAUUAGCACACACAAUAGGUCUUACUUAACAUCCCCAAACAUACAUGACACAAUGAAUGCUAUUAAAAAAAUGAAAAAGAAAAACACAC